AAUACCCUAUUAUUUUAAAAGUAAUUGAUGAAAUCUAAUUAGUAAUAGUUAAGUUCUUGAAAAUUAAAGAAUUUGGCGGUAUUUUAGUCUAUUCAGAGGAAUCUGUCCUAUAAUUGAUAAUCCACGAUUUUUUAUACCUAAUUUAUUAAUUUACAUAUCGCCGUAGUUUGAAUAUUUUUUGAAAAUUAUAAUAUUCCUAAUUUAUUUUAAUAAAAAAAAUCAGGUCAAGGUGUAGUUUAUAGUCAGGAAGAGAUGGGUUACAAUAAAAGUAUUUAUAAUGGAUUAAUUAAUUAAAUUUUUUUAUGAAGGUGGAUUUGAAAGUAAUUUUAUUUA
Molecule: ribosomal RNA, 333 nt
Filed under: Laparocerus subnebulosus
Lineage: Eukaryota; Metazoa; Arthropoda; Insecta; Coleoptera; Curculionidae
Description: partial 12S ribosomal RNA
Source: RNAcentral